Molecule: transfer RNA, 65 nt
Filed under: Typhlatya taina
Lineage: Eukaryota; Metazoa; Arthropoda; Malacostraca; Decapoda; Atyidae
Description: tRNA-Val
Source: RNAcentral
UGGGCUAUAGCUUAAAAAGCAUCUCAGUUACGUUGGGAAGAUCACUAGUUUUUGGUGUGGCUUAA